AACGAACGCUGGCGGCAUGCCUAACACAUGCAAGUCGAACGAACCCUUCGGGUUAGUGGCGCACGGGUGCGUAACACGUGGAUAACCAACCCAUUGGUUUGGGACAACACCGGGAAACUGGUGCUAAUACCAGAUGUGUCGCAGCUGUCUUCAGGCGGUUGCGAGAAAGGCCCGCAAGGGUCGCCAACGGACGGGUCCGCGUCCCAUCAGCUAGUUGGUGAGGUAAUGGCUCACCAAGGCAAAGACGGGUAGCUGGUCUGAGAGGAUGAUCAGCCACACUGGAACUGAGACACGGUCCAGACUCCUACGGGAGGCAGCAGUGGGGAAUAUUGCGCAAUGGGCGAAAGCCUGACGCAGCCACGCCGCGUGAGCGAUGAAGGUCUUCGGAUCGUAAAGCUCUGUGGGGGGAGAAGAAGAAAGCCGGUGAAGAGCCGGCCCUGACGGUAUCCCCUUAGCAAGCACCGGCUAACUCCGUGCCAGCAGCCGCGGUAAAGUGUG
RNAcentral lists this ribosomal RNA (498 nucleotides) under uncultured bacterium. RNAcentral describes it as "bacterial SSU rRNA". It matches the Rfam family "Bacterial small subunit ribosomal RNA", at positions 29 to 529 of the family's 1533-position model. The record is from RNAcentral.